CAGAUGUAUUAUACAAAAUUCUUUUUUCAUAAAUUUUUUCAUUGAUUUUCACAGCAACCCUGUGAGAAAGCAGUUCUUAUUUUGUAUAUGAGGAAACUUGGACUCAAAGAGCAUAAAGGAUUUUGCCAAUGUCACAAGUGAGGAAGGAGUACAGGUUAUAUUUGAACCCUGAUCUUCUGAUGACAAAUCUAGAAUUCAAUCCACUCGACCAGGCUGCCUUAUUUGUGUAUGUCUUAUAGUUUACCUGCUGUUACUCCCUCCAAGCUUGACCUGGUGAACAAGAAGCAUUUCUUUGUCAGAUGAAGGCAAAAUGUUAUUGUUGGAUCCUUCCUUAAGCAGAAACCUUGCAACUGACCCAUGAGUUUGUGUUCCUUACAACUUCCCCCCACAGGGGGCUGCCUGGAAUUCCUAGUGAUUGUGUUCAAGAAAGUCAUAAAGACAAAUAAUGUUGGAAUUAAAAACAACAAAAAUACACUGGGGAGCCUAUAGGAGCAACUAUAGACUCCUAGACAGCAUGGUGCUCAAUGCAGCAAAAGGAUUUUCCCACCAAUGCAAGCCUAUUAGUGACAGAUGCUUCCAGCCAGGCAGGUGGCCCUGGUCUGGUUAUCCAUGGCUUCUCCUAGUCAUCAGAUUCCUAGAAAAAUUGGUUUGAUCUCUUUCUUCCCCAAGGAGGAAUAUU
Molecule: long non-coding RNA, 679 nt
Filed under: Sarcophilus harrisii (Tasmanian devil)
Lineage: Eukaryota; Metazoa; Chordata; Mammalia; Dasyuromorphia; Dasyuridae
Description: lncRNA (ENSSHAG00000030286.1)
Source: RNAcentral